This 468-nucleotide ribosomal RNA is filed under the name uncultured bacterium. Its description in RNAcentral is "partial 16S ribosomal RNA". The stretch from base 54 to 468 matches the Rfam family "Bacterial small subunit ribosomal RNA", at positions 39 to 507 of the family's 1533-position model. The record is from RNAcentral.
GGGGGGGGGGGGGGGGGGGGGGGGGGGGGGCGGGGCGAGCGGGGGGGCGCGGGGGGGCGGGGGUGGAGCAGGGGCGAGCGGGUGAGUAACACGUGAGCAACCUGCCCCAGACUCUGGAAUAAGCGCUGGAAACGGCGCCUAAUACUGGAUACGCGAGCAAGCCGCAUGGUUAUGGUCUGGACAGUUCUUCGGUUCGGGCUGGGCUCGCGGCCUACCAGCUUCUUGGUGAGGUAAUGGCGCACCAAGGCGACGACGGGUAGCCGGCCUGAGAGGGCGACCGGCCACACUGGGACUGAGACACGGCCCAGACUUCUACGGGAGGCAGCAGUGGGGAAUAUUGCACAAUGGGCGAAAGCCUGAUGCAGCGACGCCGCGUGAGGGAUGACGGCCUUCGGGUUGUAAACCUCUUUCAGCAGGGAAGAAGCGAAAGUGACGGUACCUGCAGAAGAAGCACCGGCUAACUACGUG